AGAGGUAUAGCUCUGUGAUAGAGUGCAUGCUUAACAUGCACAAGGUCCUAGGUUCAAUCCCCAGUACCUUCA
Camelus ferus (Wild Bactrian camel) is the source of this 72-nucleotide transfer RNA. It matches the Rfam family "tRNA". Rfam says of the family: Transfer RNA (tRNA) molecules are approximately 80 nucleotides in length. Lineage: Eukaryota; Metazoa; Chordata; Mammalia; Artiodactyla; Camelidae. The record is from Rfam.